This 492-nucleotide ribosomal RNA is filed under the name uncultured bacterium. RNAcentral describes it as "partial 16S ribosomal RNA". It matches the Rfam family "Bacterial small subunit ribosomal RNA", at positions 29 to 507 of the family's 1533-position model. The record is from RNAcentral.
AGUGAACGCUGGCGGUAGGCCUAACACAUGCAAGUCGAACGGCAGCACAGUAAGAGCUUGCUCUUACGGGUGGCGAGUGGCGGACGGGUGAGGAAUACAUCGGAAUCUACUUUUUCGUGGGGGAGAACGUAGGGAAACUUACGCUAAUACCGCAUACGACCUACGGGUGAAAGCAGGGGAUCUUCGGACCUUGCGCGAUUGAAUGAGCCGAUGUCGGAUUAGCUAGUUGGCGGGGUAAAGGCCCACCAAGGCGACGAUCCGUAGCUGGUCUGAGAGGAUGAUCAGCCACACUGGAACUGAGCCACGGUCCAGACUCCUACGGGAGGCAGCAGUGGGGACUAUUGGACAAUGGGCGCAAGCCUGAUCCAGCCAUACCGCGUGGGUGAAGAAGGCCUUCGGGUUGUAAAGCCCUUUUGUUGGGAAAGAAAAGCAGCAGGUUAAUACCCCGCUGUUCUGACGGUACCCAAAGAAUAAGCACCGGCUAACUUCGUG